UCCCUUCACUAAUACUCACUACUUGAGAAGAGGCUGAUUUCUGGAGCUUUCCCACUCUGGUCAAAACUGAAACUAAACUCUAAACAAAGGAAACUUCCCUCCAUCCUUUUGAACCAUCUUAUCCCCCCAUUGGUUCCUCUGGUCAGGUAUCAGCUAGGCUAGGUGAACUUCUUAACCCUUUACAGGUAAAAGAGGCAUUAACCCUUAACUAUCUGUUUAUGACAUAGGCACAUCCCUUAAUGCACUAGUGAAAGGCACUCAGAUACCCUGGUGAUAAGAACAAUAUAAGGAAUAAAAUGGAAUGGACCAGACGACAAGUCCAUUCAGUACCUGUCUCCAACAGGGGGCUUCAGAGGAAGGUGUAAGAACCCCACAGUGGGAAGAUGAGGAUAAUUCACCUCCCAUUAACUAUUAGAGAUCAGGAUGAGAUUUAGAGAUUGACAUGAGUCCUGAAGCAUGAGGGCUCCAAUGCAUGUUAUUACAAUUCUGGAUAUUCUUGUUAUUCAUAUAAAUAUCCAAUCACUUUCUUGAUUUUAUGUUCUUGGCCUCAACAACUUCCGGUGGCAAUGAGUUCCACAGUCUACCAAUGCACUUUGUGAAAAAUAUUUUCUGUUAUCAGUUCUGAAUUUGUCGCUUGUUAAUUUAAUUGAAGGUCUCCUUGUGUUAUAAGAUGGGGAGAAUAGAAGCACCUGAUCUACCUUCUCUAGACCACUAAUUGUUGUAUAUACUUUUAUCUAGUUUGCUUCUCUCUGCAUCACUUCUUGAGCAUAAUGGAGAAAAUGUUUCCAAACAAACAUCAAAAAAUCAAAUGGAUUUGGGUUAACUGCUAGAUAAAGGAGUCUCUAUGGAGUUGUCUCCUCACAUGGACUACACUAACUGAACCACUAACAAUAACUUUUUCCCUCUUAGGUAUUGUUGUUGGACAAAUGACCACUGCCCAGGUCUCUACGGGAUCACCACUGGUAUCUGCUGAUGUUUCGUCAGCUGCUCCAAAUGCAACCACUGUCGGGGUCUCUACGGUAUCAACUACAGCUGUGACAGUAACAGCUGAAGUGCUGUCAACCACUACAAACCCCACGGUGCCAUCUGCCACAACAGUAUCUGCUGAGGUUUCAUCCACCACCCGAACUGCAAGGGUGUCCACUAUUCCAAAUAGUACCACUGUUCAGGUUUCUCCAGGACCAACAUCAGCUGUGACAGAGUUGGCUGGGGUAACAUCAGCUACCCCCCGUGGCACAGUACCUACCAGCAUGCUAUCUACUGCUCCAAACGUGACAGCAUCUGCUGGGGUUCCAUCAGCUACUCCAUUUGUAAGCACCAUGGAGUCCACAAACUGCAGUGCAGUGAACACAACAGCGUGUACAGCUUGUUCACCAGGAACGUUUCCCAGCAAUGAGACAUUGGGUUGUUUCUGCUGCUCAGAGGGCUCCUGCGCAGAACCUAUUGAUUGCAUCUCCUGUCCAGUGGGUCACUAUCAGCCUCUAGCUGGACAACUGUCCUGUCUGCUUUGCCCACAAGGAUAUUACACUAAUUUAAUGAAAAGUGUUGCAUGCCUGCCCUGUCAGCCUGGCUCUUAUUCCAAUGAGUCUGGGGCACCAGCUUGCACACCGUGUGGAAAAGGGCAUUUCAGCUUCCAGAACAAUUCAGCAUUCUGCAUGCCCUGUCCACACGGAUCAUUUUGCAAUACUACCAACUGCAGCAAGUGUACAAUUUGCCCCACUGGAGAAGAGGCCCUUACAGAAGCAUCUGAAGAAUGUGCACCUUGUCUGCCAGGUACAUAUAAAGGCCCCAGCGACAGCAAAUGUGAGAUCUGCAAUAUAGGAGAAUACCAAGUACAAAGGGGCAAGGAGAGCUGUGACAAAUGCCCAGAAAAUUAUUACUGUCCUGUAAGUCUCUCUAAGCUGCAGCAGUGGUAUGUCUUACUAAAUGUAGCUGAUCUAUUACAAGCUGAAUACAUUUUAAUUAACACCAUCUUUAUUCAGUUCACUUCCUUUGUAGGGUUCUUUUAG
Chrysemys picta bellii (western painted turtle) is the source of this 2009-nucleotide long non-coding RNA. Lineage: Eukaryota; Metazoa; Chordata; Testudines; Emydidae. The record is from Ensembl.